CAGGGCUUGACAUCUAUGGAAUCCGCCGGAAACGGUGGAGUGCCGUAAGGAGCCAUAAGACAGGUGUUGCACGGUCGUCGUCAGCUCGUGCUGUGAAGUGUACCGUUAAGUCGGCCAACGAGCGCAACCCUUAUCGUAUGUUACUUUUACAUGCGAGACUGCCGGUGUUAAAUCGGAGGAAGGUGGGGAUGACGUCAGAUCAGCGUGACCCUUAUGUCCUGGGCGACACCCGUGUUACAAUGGGUAGCAACAAUGGGUUGCGAAACCGCAAGGUGGAGCUAAUCCCAACAAACCUACCCCCAGUUCGGAUUGAGGUCUGAAACUCGACCUCAUGAAGUCGGAAUCGCUAGUAACCGUGGGUCAGCCAUACCACGGUGAAUACGUUCU
RNAcentral lists this ribosomal RNA (387 nucleotides) under uncultured bacterium. Its description in RNAcentral is "bacterial SSU rRNA". It matches the Rfam family "Bacterial small subunit ribosomal RNA", at positions 975 to 1374 of the family's 1533-position model. The record is from RNAcentral.